AUUGAACGCUUUUGGCAGGCCUAACACAUGCAAGUCGAACGGUAACAGAAAGCAGCUUGCUGCUUUGCUGACGAGUGGCGGACGGGUGAGUAAUGUCUGGGAAACUGCCUGAUGGAGGGGGAUAACUACUGGAAACGGUAGCUAAUACCGCAUAACGUCGCAAGACCAAAGAGGGGGACCUUCGGGCCUCUUGCCAUCGGAUGUGCCCAGAUGGGAUUAGCUAGUAGGUGGGGUAACGGCUCACCUAGGCGACGAUCCCUAGCUGGUCUGAGAGGAUGACCAGCCACACUGGAACUGAGACACGGUCCACACUCCUACGGGAGGCAGCAGUGGGGAAUAUUGCACAAUGGGCGCAAGCCUGAUGCAGCCAUGCCGCGUGUAUGAAGAAGGCCUUCGGGUUGUAAAGUACUUUCAGCGGGGAGGAAGGGAGUAAAGUUAAUACCUUUGCUCAUUGACGUUACCCGCAGAAGAAGCACCGGCUAACUCCGUGCCAGCAGCCGCGGUAAUACGGAGGGUGCAAGCGUUAAUCGGAAUUACUGGGCGUAAAGCGCACGCAGGCGGUUUGUUAAGUCAGAUGUGAAAUCCCCGGGCUCAACCUGGGAACUGCAUCUGAUACUGGCAAGCUUGAGUCUCGUAGAGGGGGGUGGAAUUCCAGGUGUAGCGGUGAAAUGCGUAGAGAUCUGGAGGAAUACCGGUGGCGAAGGCGGCCCCCUGGACGAAGACUGACGCUCAGGUGCGAAAGCGUGGGGAGCAAACAGGAUUAGAUACCCUGGUAGUCCACGCCGUAAACGAUGUCGACUUGGAGGUUGUGCCCUUGAGGCGUGGCUUCCGGAGCUAACGCGUUAAGUCGACCGCCUGGGGAGUACGGCCGCAAGGUUAAAACUCAAAUGAAUUGACGGGGGCCCGCACAAGCGGUGGAGCAUGUGGUUUAAUUCGAUGCAACGCGAAGAACCUUACCUGGUCUUGACAUCCACAGAACUUUCCAGAGAUGGAUUGGUGCCUUCGGGAACUGUGAGACAGGUGCUGCAUGGCUGUCGUCAGCUCGUGUUGUGAAAUGUUGGGUUAAGUCCCGCAACGAGCGCAACCCUUAUCCUUUGUUGCCAGCGGUCCGGCCGGGAACUCAAAGGAGACUGCCAGUGAUAAACUGGAGGAAGGUGGGGAUGACGUCAAGUCACCAUGGCCCUUACGACCAGGGCUACACACGUGCUACAAUGGCGCAUACAAAGAGAAGCGACCUCGCGAGAGCAAGCGGACCUCAUAAAGUGCGUCGUAGUCCGGAUUGGAGUCUGCAACUCGACUCCAUGAAGUCGGAAUCGCUAGUAAUCGUGGAUCAGAAUGCCACGGUGAAUACGUUCCCGGGCCUUGUACA
RNAcentral lists this ribosomal RNA (1369 nucleotides) under uncultured bacterium. RNAcentral describes it as "bacterial SSU rRNA". It matches the Rfam family "Bacterial small subunit ribosomal RNA", at positions 28 to 1387 of the family's 1533-position model. The record is from RNAcentral.